UUUUUUUCUUAAUUAUGGAUUAAACUUCAAAUACCCCCUGUAAUUUCACACUUUUUCACUUUAGUAUCCUAUGAUUUAAAGUGUAUCAAGUUAGUAUCCUAUGAUUUCGCACUUUCUCAAUUUAGUACCAUGUGGUUUCAAGUGUAUCAAGUUAGUACCAUAUGGUUUCCCACUUUCUCACUUUAGUACCCUAUGGUUUAAUAUUUCGUUAAAUUAUAAUCCCGAAAUAGAUAAUAAAAAGAGAAAAUUAAAACCACAUGACACUAAAUUGAUACAAAAAUGAAACCACGGAUUACUAACUUGAUACACUUGAAACCACAAGGUACUAAAGUGAGAAAGUGCGAAACCACAGGGCACUAGCUUGAUACACUUUAAACCACAGGGUACUAAAGUGAGAAAGUGCAAAAUCAGAGGAGUAUUUGAAGUUUUUCCAAAAAUAUUUAAUAUACCCUACCAAAUAAGGGUUUUUUAAAAGUCAAACAUUCAUAAUUUCUUUCCAUUUUUACUCUUUUUUAGGUGAAAAUGCACGGAGACC
Molecule: long non-coding RNA, 535 nt
Filed under: Ananas comosus (pineapple)
Lineage: Eukaryota; Viridiplantae; Streptophyta; Magnoliopsida; Poales; Bromeliaceae
Description: long non-coding RNA (ACOM_LNC013006)
Source: RNAcentral